RNAcentral lists this long non-coding RNA (546 nucleotides) under Mytilus galloprovincialis (Mediterranean mussel). The record is from RNAcentral. Lineage: Eukaryota; Metazoa; Mollusca; Bivalvia; Mytilida; Mytilidae.
GUAAGAUCUACAAAUAAGUCAACAUGACCAAAAUUGUCAGUUGACCCAUUAAGGAGUUAUUGCCCUUUAUAGUCAAUUUUUAACCAUUUUUCUUAAAUUUUAGUAUUCUUUUAAAAAAUCUUCUCCUCUGAAACUACCGGGCCAAAUUUAACCAAACUUGGCCACAAUCAUCAUUUGGGUAUUUUGUUUUAAAAAUGUGUGGCGUGACCCUGCCAACCAACCAAGAUGGCCGCCAUGGCUAAAAAUAGUACAUAGGGGCAAAAUGUAGAUUUUGGCUUAUAUCUCUGAAACCAAAGCAUUUAGAGCAAAUCUGACAUGAUGAAUUAUUUAUCAGGUCAAGGUCUAUCUGCCCUGAAAUUUUCAGACAAAACAGACAACCUGCUGUUGGGUUGCUGCCCCAGAAUUAGUAAUUUUAAGGAAAUUUUGCAGUUUUUUGUUAUUAUCUUGAAUAUUAUAAUAGAUAGAGAUAAACUGUAAACAGCAAAAAUGUUCAGCAAAGUAAGAUCUACAAAUAAGUCAACAUGACCAAAAUUGUCAGUUUACCCC